Molecule: long non-coding RNA, 1302 nt
Organism: Prunus persica (peach)
Lineage: Eukaryota; Viridiplantae; Streptophyta; Magnoliopsida; Rosales; Rosaceae
Exons: 6
Source: RefSeq, a predicted model, not a curated record
UUGAGCAACAAAUUCUAUAUAUACUAAAACCCAAUGUAACUAAACACUGUAGCUAAGCACAGUGUAAUGACGGAAAUGCCCCUCAUUUUUCUGUUGUUUUCGUUUUUUUUUUCUGCAGCACAGUUAAUUGACGAAACUGCCCUUGACUAAACAGCUUCUUUUGUUCCCGUUUUUGCCCCUCCCCCUUCGUUGAGAGGGUUUCGUCCGCUGAGAGAAAGCCCUGUCUUCCGUUCGUUUCCAACCAGCUGGUUGCGGGGCAGCCAUGGAAGAACUGUGUUCGUUGCUGGACAUGCGUUGGAGGCCGUCGAUUUUUGUUUGGGAGGUGAGCUGCAAAUCCAGCCGCGCUUUCAGUCUUCGUGUCACAGAUUUGGGAUCGGGAGAUUUCAUCUUUUCUACAACCUUCGACCUCAGGCUUCCAUCUUUCUUGCUUGCGAAUAUUUGCAUCCUUUGUCUUCAGGUUCUUGGGUUAUCUCUAAUGUUUUAUUCAGUAUAAUGGCAUUUUUGACCUGAUGAACAGCUACAUAGCCUCUUCAGCUCUCAAUCCCGCGUUCGCUUCUCAAACCAGAAAGAAAGCCGCGUUCACCGAAGAGAAGUACGAAAGAGAGAGGCCUCAGAGAUCAUAGUCGUCUUCUCUAAUUCUCGAACAAGUUUCCACCAGUACCAGGUUGUUUGGAGGAAGCUCCCUACGGGAUUUUAUGAGCUCCCCAAGAUUUACGGAAUGAAGCUCUGGGCAUAAUCGUUCAGCUCAGCCUUUGUGAUCCCAAUUCUUCAUCGGUGAAUUUUGCAUUAGACUUAAUAUUGUGGUAAGUGCUUGCCAUUAAUGAGUUGCUAGGGACUGGAAUGGUUACGCAGGAUACAUCUCCUUCAGUGUUGCUAUUCUUUGACAAGCAAAGAUUUAUAUUUAAUGUUGUGGAGAGGUGGUCUUUCGUUGCUUUGGAUAGAGCGGUUUGGUUGGUGUUUUCAGGUCUGUUAAGUAAGGGUGAGUAGAAUGCAGGUAUGUACCUCAACGGCAAGCUCAACCCAUGACUUGCAGUCAGGAGCAUUAGGAUCAACAUCCUUCCCAUCCGAUUUUGGAAAUUUAGUUUUGUGAAAAUCUGAACGACGAACAACCUUACGAACUCCGUCUGGGUAUUUCACCACAACCUCAGGAGGGCAACUAGGACAUGAUUCCAUUAAUAUAUAGCAACAUUAUAUUAGAUUUCAAUAUUAGCUUGUUAUUAUGUAUAGAUAGAGAUAUUGAUGUCAGCAGCAUAACCAUAUGAAAACCUAAACUAAUUAAUUAAUGUGGCCGUUUGAUAACCA